AUUGAACGCUGGCGGCAGGCCUAACACAUGCAAGUCGAACGAGUGGCGGACGGGUGAGUAAUGUCUGGGAAACUGCCCGAUGGCGGGGGAUAACUCCUGGAAACGGUAGCUAAUACCGCAUACCAUCGGAUGUGCCCAGAUGGGUUUAGCGAGUAGGUGGGGUAAAGGCUCACCUAGGGGACUACCCCUUGCUGGUACGUGAGGAUGACCCGGCACGCUGUAACGGAGAAACGACGCAGACUCUUACGGGGGGCAGAAGUGGGGAAUAUUGCAAAAUGGGCGCAAGCCUGAUGCAGCAAUGCGGCGUGAGUGAAAAGGGCCUUCGGGUUGUAAAACACUUUCAGCGGGUAGGCGUUACCCGCAGAAGAAGCACCGGCUAACUCCGUGCCAGCAGCCGCGGUAAUUC
This 406-nucleotide ribosomal RNA is filed under the name uncultured bacterium. RNAcentral's name for it is "partial 16S ribosomal RNA". It matches the Rfam family "Bacterial small subunit ribosomal RNA", at positions 30 to 526 of the family's 1533-position model. The record is from RNAcentral.